This 892-nucleotide long non-coding RNA is filed under the name Amborella trichopoda. RNAcentral describes it as "long non-coding RNA (ATRI_LNC004202)". Lineage: Eukaryota; Viridiplantae; Streptophyta; Magnoliopsida; Amborellales; Amborellaceae. The record is from RNAcentral.
UGUAACCUAUUUGCAACCAACUUGCAACCUGCAACCUGCAACCUGCAACCUACCUGCAACCUGUAACCUACUUGCAACCUACCUGCAACCUGUAACCUACUUGCAACCUACCUGCAACCAGUAACCUACUUGCAACCUACCUGCAACCUUUGCUAUUUACCUGCAACCUUUGCUACUCACCUGCAACCUUUGCUACUCACCUGCAACCUUUGCUACUCACCUACAACCUUUGCUACUCACCUGUAACCUUUGCUAUUUUUACCUACAAACCUUUGCUACCUACCUCCAUUUCCGAAACUUUCAACCUUCAAACCUUUGUUUAAAACCUCAAAACCUUCAGAAGCAAACAAUUCAGAGCUAUCCUAGCCCUCAUAGCUCGACAUAAUCAGGUUCUUUCUUACCUUACUUUGAUUAAUUAUGUGUGAUUGUAAUAUCAACAAUUUACCCUCAUACUGCCCACAUCACUGGAAGUUAUUUUCCAGUUACGGUCUGUGUACACAGUAAGUUUCCCUUCUUUGUUUUACCUAUUCUCAGUUUGAUCGCUCUCUGAAACAUACUCUUUUCUCUUCUCUUCUCUAUCUCUUUCUUGUACUAUAAAGUUCUACUACUGUAAAGCUGUAUUAUGAGCACAUGUGUAUUGAAUAUAUGUUUGCAUUAUAUAUGUGUUAAUCAUGCAAUUUAAGAUUCUGUUUAAUAUUAAGAUCGGAGAAAAUAGUUAUGCUCAGUGGAUAGUAUUAGAUAUAUCAGUAGUCCCCUUAUUAGGAAUAAUCUUGUUUUGUCUUAAUUAUUAUCGAAUUUUACAAGCAAUAAUCACUUACAACGGUUUGUUGUUCACAUACUUAUUAUAAAUCAAGGACUUGCAUUCUACAACUUAGAAAACAAUAAAAUAAGC